RNAcentral lists this ribosomal RNA (523 nucleotides) under uncultured bacterium. RNAcentral describes it as "bacterial SSU rRNA". It matches the Rfam family "Bacterial small subunit ribosomal RNA", at positions 8 to 526 of the family's 1533-position model. The record is from RNAcentral.
AGAGUUUGAUCAUGGCUCAGAUUGAACGCUGGCGGCAUGCCUUACACAUGCAAGUCGGACGGCAGCGCGGGGGCAACCCUGGCGGCGAGUGGCGAACGGGUGAGUAAUACAUCGGAACGUGUCCUGGAGUGGGGGAUAGCCCGGCGAAAGCCGGAUUAAUACCGCAUACGCUCUAUGGAGGAAAGCGGGGGAACUUCGGUCCUUGCGCUAUCGGAUGAACCCAUAUGGGAUUAGCUAGUUGGUGGGGUAAAGGCCUACCAAGGCGACGAUCUGUAGCUGGUCUGAGAGGACGACCAGCCACACUGGGACUGAGACACGGCCCAGACUCCUACGGGAGGCAGCAGUGGGGAAUUUUGGACAAUGGGGGCAACCCUGAUCCAGCAAUGCCGCGUGUGUGAAGAAGGCCUUCGGGUUGUAAAGCACUUUUGUCCGGAAAGAAAACCUCCGUCCUAAUACGGUGGGGGGAUGACGGUACCGGAAGAAUAAGCACCGGCUAACUACGUGCCAGCCGCCGCGGUAAUUC